GACGAACGCUGGCGGCGUGCCUAAUACAUGCAAGUAGAACGCUGAAGGAGGAGCUUGCUUCUCUGGAUGAGUUGCGAACGGGUGAGUAACGCGUAGGUAACCGGCCUGGUAGCGGGGGAUAACUAUUGGAAACGAUAGCUAAUACCGCAUAAUAGCAGUUAUUGCAUGAUAACUGUUUGAAAGGUGCAAUUGCACCACUACCAGAUGGGCCUGCGUUGUAUUAGCUAGUUGGUGGGGUAACGGCUCACCAAGGCGACGAUACAUAGCCGACCUGAGAGGGUGAUCGGCCACACUGGGACUGAGACACGGCCCAGACUCCUACAGGAGGCAGCAGUAGGGAAUCUUCGGCAAUGGACGGAAGUCUGACCGAGCAACGCCGCGUGAGUGAAGAAGGUUUUCGGAUCGUAAAGCUCUGUUGUAAGAGAAGAACGAGUGUGAGAGUGGAAAG
Molecule: ribosomal RNA, 448 nt
Filed under: Streptococcus mitis
Lineage: Bacteria; Bacillati; Bacillota; Bacilli; Lactobacillales; Streptococcaceae
Description: bacterial SSU rRNA
Rfam family: Bacterial small subunit ribosomal RNA
Source: RNAcentral